This 8252-nucleotide long non-coding RNA is filed under the name Homo sapiens (human). RNAcentral's name for it is "HSALNT0255848". Lineage: Eukaryota; Metazoa; Chordata; Mammalia; Primates; Hominidae. The record is from RNAcentral.
CGCACUUCAGCUAAGAGGGUGCGAGAUUGAAAAAGCCCGCGGCGUCUUCUACACGCCACUUCGCUGGGCUCCUGUCUCUGUCGCUGAGAGGCACUCUGGAGAGUCUGCGGCAGCCUCUGUCACACAGGGACCUGCACUGGUCGUGGGAGCCGCAGAGAGGCCCCCGGGACACGGAGGAAUUCGGAAAAUGUCUCAGGUAUUUCUUUAUCAUGCUGCAAGAAUGGAAUAAUACAAGAAAAUUGGUACUGAGAAGUGGCGCAUUGCUAUCAAGAUAUCUGAAAAUGUGGAAUUGGUUUUGGAACUUCUUAACAGGCAGAGGUUUGGAAGAGUGUGGAGGGCUCAGAAGACAACAGGAAGAUGAGGGAGUUUGAGACUUUGUAGAGGCUUGCUGAAUGGUUGUGACCAAAAUGCUGAUAGUGAUAUAAAGUUCAGGCUGAGGAGGUCUCAGAUGGAAAGGACAAUACUUAUAAGUAUUUAUUGGGAACUGAAGCACAGGUCACUUUUGUUUUUCCUUAGCAAAGAGCUUGGCUGCAGUGUGCCUCUGCCCUAGGGAUAUGUGGAACUUUUUUUUUUUUAAUUUCGACCAAGUCACACUGUCACCCAGGCUGGAGUGCAGUGGCACAAUCUCGGCUCACUGCAGCCUCCGCCUCCUUGGUUCCAGCACUUCUCCCGCCUCAGCCUCCCGGGUAGCUGGGUUUAUAGGCAUGCGCCACCACACCUGGCUAAUUUUUGCAUUUUUCCUGGCUCGUAACUGUCACAGCCCCUGUUAUAGUGCUGUGGCACUGUAGGCUUCAGAGGCAGGACUGAGAAGACAGAAUUUCUCUCACUGACCUCCUGCUGUCCUUCACCUGCCCAAGGAAGGAGUCUAAUCUUCCCAGCUUUUCUGAUUGUGGGUCAUCAGACGCUCAUUUCAGAAGGGGUCCUGUCUCAUACCCUGGAGGAAGGAAUGCUACAUAGAGAAGCCAAAAAGAAUCUGAACAGACAGGGCUUGGUGGAUUUUCCCAUUCAGUCUAUCAGUAUUAGAUUCUACCUUUUUUGUCCAGCUAAUUUCUACAUAGUUAUGAAUCAUGCCUAUCCAAUGAGGUCUCAAGAAAAGGCCCCAGAGUACAGGAUUCAGAAAGCUCCCAGACAGCUCAACACAUGCAGGCUUAUAGGAAGGUAAACAAGAACUUAUCCAUCAGCUGGGAGGGUGGCACACCCUAACCCCAGAGACAGAAGCUACUGUGCUCAAGACCCUUCUAGACCUCACCCUAUGUAUCUCUUCACCUGGAUGUUUAUUUGUAUCCUUUAAAAUAUCCUUGGCUGGGUGCAGUGGCUCGUGCCUGUAAUCCCAGCACUUUGGGGGGCCAAGGUGGGUGGAUCACUUGAGGUCAGGAGCUCGUGACCAGCCUGGCCAACAUGGUGAAGCCCCGUCUCUACUAAAAAUACAAAAAUUAGCCAGGCGUGGUGGUGUGCACCUAUAAUCCCAGCUACUCGGGAGGCCAAGGCAGGAGAAUAGCUUGAAUCCGGGCAGUGGAGGUUACAGCGAGCUGAGAUCGCACCACUGCACUCCAGCAUGGGCCACAGAGUGUGAGACUCUUGUCUCAAAAAAAAAAAAUAAAAAGAAAGAAACCUGAGAGUUAGGUAUGGUGGCUCACACCUGUAAUCCCAGCACUUUGGGAGACCAAGAUGGGAAGAUCACUUGAGGCCAGGAGUUCAGCCUGGGCAACAUAGAGAGACUCCAUCUCUACAAAAAAAGAAAUGAAAGAAGACUGUGAAGAUGAGUAAGUGUUUCCCUGAGUUCUGCAAGCCACAAUAGCAAGUUAAACCCAAAGAGAGCACAAGAACUCCAACUUGAAACCUGUGGGUUAUAAUUGGUCCAGACUUACCACUGAUACCUGAAUGGUAGGGAGUGGCAGGCAGGGAGGGAGGGAUGUGGGGACUGAGCCAUCAACCUAUGGGCUCUGAAACUAUCUCCAGGGUAGAGAAUGUCAAAACUGAAUUGGAAGAGACCCAGUUGCUGUCCACUGCAGGAUACACUGCUUGCCUUUUGGUAGGGAGAAAACCCACGCUUUUGGUCACAAAAGUCUUCUGUGUUGAUUGUUGUUAUUGAAAGAAUAGAAAAAGCCCUUUGAGUGUGUUCUUUCCACACAGAAUUAGUAUUUCCAUAAUCAUUUAGUACACAAAAAAUCAUAAUUGAGUACUUUUUUAGGUGUUGCUAAAUGCUGUCCCACAGGAUUUAGCAUUAAUCUGCCAAGUUCACAUAACAGGAAACGAACUUAUCCACGGUCACAAAUUCUUCAACCUGAGAAGGAGAAGAACUGAGGUUAUGGAACAUCUUUGUAAUUCACCAGUAUAAUCCACCACACUUUCUUUUGAAAACAACUCAUUUUUUCUGUAACCAAAAUGGAAGAGAGGUUUUUUUCCCUAUUUCUUUUCCCUGGUAGUAUUUUCAUGCUAAGGCCUAGAAUUCCAUUUGAAAUCACCCAAUAGAAAAAGGAGCUGAGAAACUUACUACCCAGGCUCUGGGAAGAAAAAUAAGAAUUUUUAUAAGGGAAUACAAGACUAGACUUUUUUUUUCCUAAAACCUACCAAAACCUACCUUCUUCUGGCAUGUUUGGAAAUACUUUAACUUCUCCAUCCAUCUCUAAUAAUAUAGUGCAUUUUACAGUUAUUAAAAAACUGAAGCUGCUCUCCCUCGUCUCCCACUUUCCACGGUCUCCCUCUGAUGCUGAGCCUCUCCCUCGUCUCCCACUUUCCAUGGUCUCCCUCUGAUGCCGAGCCGAGGCUGGACUGUACUGCCGCCAUCUCGGCUCACUGCAACCUCCCUGCCUCAUUCUCCUGCCUCAGACUGCCGAGUGCCUGGGAUUGCAGGCGUGCGCCACCACGCCUGACUGGUUUUUGUAUUUUUUGGUGGAGACGGGGUUUCGCCGUGUUGGCUGGGCUGGUCUCCAGCUCCUGACCGCGAGUGAUCUGCCCGCCUUGGCCUCCCGAGGUGCCGGGAUUGCAGACGGAGUCUCGCUCACGCAGUGCUCAAUCUUGCCCAGGCUGGAGUGCAGUGGCGUGACCUGGGCUUGCUACAACCUCCACCUCCCAGCCGCCUGCCUUGGCCUCCCAAAGUGCCGAGAUUGCAGCCUCUGCCCGGCCGCCACCCCGUCUGGGAAGUGAGGAGCGUCUCUGCCUGGCCGCCCAUCAUCUGGGAUGCGAGGAGCCCCUCUGCCCGGCUGCCCAGUCUGGGAAGUGAGGAGCGCCUCUUCCCGGCCACCAUCCCAUCUAGGAAGUGAGGAGUGUCUCUGCCUGGCCGCCCAUGGUCUGGGAUGUGAGGAGCGCCUCUGCCCUGCCGCCCAGUCUGGGAAGUGAGGAGCGCCUCUUCCCGGCGCCAUCCCAUCUAGGAAGUGAGGAGCGUCUCUGCCUUGCCGCCCAUCGUCUGAGAUGUGGGGAGCGCCUCUGCCCCACUGCCCUGUCUAGGAUGUGAGGAGCGCCUCUACCCGGCCGUGACCCCGUCUGGGAACUGAGGAGUGUCUCUGCCUGAACACCACCCCGUCUGGGAGGUGACGAGCGUCUCUGCCUGGCCACCCCGUCUGAGAAGUGAGGAGCCCCUCCGCCCAGCAGCUGCCCUGUCUGGGAAAGUGAGGAGCCCCUCUGCCUGGCAGCUGCCCCGUCUGGGAAGUGAGGAGGGUCUCCGCCCGGCAGCUGCCCCGUCCGGGAGGGAGGUGGGGGGCAGCCCCCGACCAGCCAGCUGCCCUGUCCAGGAGGAAGGGAGGUGGGGGGCAGCCCCCGCCUGGCCAGCCGCCCCGUCUGGGAGGUGGGGGGGCGCCUCCGCCUGGCCUCCACCCCGUCUGGGAGGUGUACCCAACAGCUCACUGAGAACGGGCCAUGAUGACGAUGGCAGUUUUGUCGAAUAGAAAAGGGGGAAAUGUGGGGAAAAGAAAGAUAAGAUUGUUACUGUGUCUGUGUAGAUAGUAGUAGACAUAGGAGACUCCAUUUUGUUCUAUACUAAGAAAAAUUCUUCUGCCUUGGGAUGCUGUUAUCUAUAACCUUACCCCCAACCCCGUGCUCUCUGAAACAUGUGCUGUGUCCACUCAGGUUUAAAUGGAUUAAGGGCAGUGCAAGAUGCGCUUUGUUAAACAGAUGCUUCAAGGCAGCAUGCUCGUUAAGAGUCAUCACCACUCCCCAAUCUCAAGUACCCAGGAACACAAACACUGCAGAAGGCCGCAGGAUCCUCUGCCUAGGAAAACCAGAGACCCUUGUUCACAACUGUUUAUCUGCCGACCUUCCCUCCACUAUUGUCCUAUGACCCUGCCAAAUCCCCCUCUCCGAGAAACACCCAAGAAUGAUAAAUAAAUACUAAAAAAAGAAAAAAAAAUUCCCCCUUCCCAUACAAAUAUGCCUAGCUCAUAAAAGCAAUCCUAAAAGAAAAAAAAAAAAAAAACUGAAGCUGAUGGCUGGGCAUGGUGGCUCACGCCUGUAAUCCCAGCACUUUGGGAGGCUGAGGUGGGCAGAUCACCUGAGGUCGGGAGUUCGAGACCAGCCUGACCAACAUGGUGAAACCCCAUCUCUACUAAACAUACAAAAUUAGGUGGGCAUUGUGGCACAUGCCUGUAAUCCCAGCUACCUGGGAGACUGAGGCAGAAGAAUUACUUGAACCUGGGAGGCGGAGGUUGCGGCAAACCGAGAUCGCGUCAUUGCACUCCAGCCUGGGCAACAACAGUGAAACUCCGUCUCAAAAAAAAAAAAAAAAACCUGAAGCUGAAAUGAGUAAACCAAUUUUUUCAAGGUGAUAAACCCAGGGAGGGGCAGUGCUGACCUGAAACACUCAAGUGUCUGACUCAAGUGUCAGGUCACAUCAUCCUAUCACUUGGGACAUCCCCCCACCUCCAAGCUGCUCCCUGAAGUGCUCAGUGACCACCCUCCCAGAAGACACUCAACUGUGUGCUUUUCAGGUCCUUGCAACAACUCAUUGGGGGUGGUUUUCUUCUUUCACUAGACUGAGAGAAUCCAGAGGACAGAAAUCAUUUCUUCUUUUUUUUUUUUUUUUUUUGAGACGGAGUCUUGCCCUGUCGCCCAGGCUGGAGUGCAGUGGCGCAAUCUCAGCUCACUGCAACCUCCACCUCCCGGGUUCUAGCAAUUCUGCCUCAGCCUCACGAGUAGCUGAGAUUACAAGGGUGCACCACCACGCCCAGCUAAUUUUUGGAUUUUUAGUAGAGUCGGGGUUUCACCAUGUUGGCCAGGCUGGUCUUGAACUCCUGACCUCAGGUGAUCCACCCACCUUGGCCUCCCAAAGUGCUAGGAUUACAGGACAGAAAUAAUUUGGUUUCCUCCAUACCAGAAUUUGAUUGGCUGACUAGCCAUGUGUCCCCAAGGAAUGGAAACGGGUUGGAGAAGAAAAGGCGUGUCCCAAGGGAUUAGUUUUUUACAAUAAUGAUAUAGGAGACUGGUCCCACCCCAUAGCAUCCAGCUGCUCCCUGGGGAGGCCUCACCGCCACACCUCAGGCUCUUUGGGAGGAACGACCUAGGGGCUGAUAUUCACUAGACUUUCCCAAGAGACUUGGCAGCUGUAGGCAUCUUGGGCCAGCCCCAGGUAGUCCUGAAACCCAGGAUCAGGAAAAGGCAGAGGGUGGGCUGAGGUCGCAUCACUGUAAAGUUUCCAAAGGGGAAUCUCAACCCAAGACAUUCUCAGAAGGUGUCUGUGCCUAGGGCAGAUAAAAAGAGACACAAAGAUUGUUUACAGCGGAGUGUCAGGUGGUUUUUCUCUGAAACGUUCACAAACACAAAACAAAUAUUUUUAAAACGGCCAUAUACUGCCCUCUAAAAAAAUGACGAUUAAAAUACUGCCUGUGUUUGAAACAUAGCCUGGAGGACGAAGAAGUGAUACUGUUGUGAACUAAAGGAAAUCCGUGUUAUAAAAUGCGGAAAGGGAUCAGGAAAUCCCAAAUUUGCUGCCAGCCUUAGGAGAAGGUAGCCUAGGGACCACAGUCGCGGAUUUGAGACCCUGCUUCGCGUAUAUUUGGGAAACUCAGAUAAAAUACAAAAGCCCCUGGUGAGAAAGAGGGAACUGGGGACCCCACAGCCUACAGCUCCUCUCACACGAACCCCAUACUCGAGGCAGGAUUUCCCCCAUGACCCUCUAGUGGCCCCCGUACAAUCUGGGGAGACACGGAGGCAGCGGGCGUGACUGGGGCAGCGGGCGCGGAGCUGACCAGAGAGGGCGCUGGGCCUGGGGCCACAGUCAGUUGCACAGGGACUGGACCGGACGGCUAGGGGUCUCGGCUGCCGUCGCAGCCCCACCCUGCGGCCUGAGAGGAACCAGGGCCGAGGUGCGCCAGGGGGACUUGGGUCUCAGAACCCAGAGUCAACUACGAAGAGGCCCGGGUCCCGCCACGGUCUAUUCCUGCCGGUUCCAACCAGUCCCAUCCUAGUCUCGGGACCCUCAGCCCCGCACACUCACCAAUUCCUGGCUUCCAGGUGUCCCAGUCCUCCCUACGGCUCCUGCUGCCAGUACGGGUCCCAGUGUGACAGAGGAUGCUACAGACACGUCUGUGGGUGUCUGUCAGCUACAGAGUAGGAGCCGCAUUUAGAGGGGUGAAGAUGCCGCGCACCCACCUCCCUGCAGUGCGCCUGAUCCACAGUUCUCACGACCCCACCCCAUGGCCCUGAUUGGAUACGGCUCCAGGUCCCGCCCCCUGGAGACCGAGUAACAGAAGAGGCGAUCUCACUGUGCUGAGUGGAGCGCGAUGAACAGGUUCCAGACACAGCCCUUGGCAGGCGGGCUUCCUCCCAGUGCAGUGACCCGACUCUCCUGGGGAGAAAUGUGCACUUAAGCAGAAUUUCCUGACUGAUUGUACUAAUGGCCCUUCCUGCUUCUUUUUCCUGGACCAGCAAUCACAAGUGUGUGCUAGGAAUCCCAGACUCACUGUCCAGUGGCGCCAUCUCCUGGCCUUGGAGCAGGAGGGGGGCUCUGUCCUCCAGGAAUCAGGAAUUUGGCAUGAGGCUGCUGGCGACAUAGUCAAGCCUUUCUCCCAUCUGAUGUCUCAAUCUGCUUAUUUUCAAGAAAAUAAAAACACAUCGAUAACAGGAUAAAACUGUUAAAUUCACGGAAAAGCUGGACUUAUAUGACAGCAAUAUUCUAUAAAGGAAUCAAUAGAGAGAAAAAGCAAAAACAUGAGCUAGCUCAGAGAAGCAGUCUUUCAGACGCAGUUCAGCAGGAAAACCCCAAUUUAGAGGUUAAACAUAUUCCCAACCAUGGGUGCCAGACUGUUGAAAUGGGUCCCCAGAGGCCGGGUGCGGUGGCUCACACCUGUAAUCCCAGCAUUUUGGGAGGCCAAUGCGGAUGGAUCACCUGAGGUCAGGAGUUCGAGACAAACCUUGCCAAUACGGUGAAACCCCGUCUCUACUAAAAAUACAAAAAUUAGCCAGGCAUGAUGGUGGGCGCCUGUAAUCCCAGCUACUCAGGAGGCUGAGGCAGGAGAAUCGCUUGAACCCGGGGUGGGGCGGCGGGGGGAGCGGACAGAGGUUGCAGUGAGCCAAGAUUGUGCCACUUCACUCCAGCCUGGGCGAAAGAGCAAAACUCUGUCUCAAAAAAGAAAAAAGAUAAGAAAAAGAAAUGGGUCCCCAGAGUGUCCCUGCCUCAUUACCAAGUCAUGGUGAUGAGGCAAGAUACAUAAGGAUUCAGCUCUGGGAGUUCAACUUGCCCUCUUGUCCCCUCUGCAGAGUGUGGCUAUGCUCCCUCCUUUAAGUGUUAAUAAAAGUUUCCAAUCAAAAGCCAAGAAACUAGACACUGAUUUUGAAAACAUAAGGAAUUCCUCGUAUUUUAUGAAAAACAAAGCUAUUAGUCAUACAGAACACGAAUAGUACAAUGGCAGACAUAAUGCCUUCGUUAUCGGUAAUUAAAUGGAAUAAACUUGCCAAACAAAAGACAGAGGCAGGGAGAAUGAAUCUUUAAAAUAUGAUCAAAUUGUAUCCUGUCUACAGCACAUUCAUUGUAGAUCUCAAUACCCAAGUCAGUUGAAAGAGAAUGAAAGAAAAAGAUAUUCCAUGCAAAUAGUAAUGUAAAGAGAGCAGGGGUGGCUAUACAAUUGUCACACAAAAUAGACUAAGUCAAAAACUGUUAAAAGACACAAAGAAGAGCACUAUAAAAGGCUCAAAUCAUACAGAAUAUAUAACAGUUAUAAAUAUAAUUGCACUAAAUAACAGAGGCCCAAAAUAUAUGAAGCAAACAUUUUAAAAAUUUAAAAGGAAGGUCAGGUGUGGUGGCUCACCCCUGUAAUCCCAGC